RNAcentral lists this ribosomal RNA (492 nucleotides) under uncultured bacterium. Its description in RNAcentral is "partial 16S ribosomal RNA". It matches the Rfam family "Bacterial small subunit ribosomal RNA", at positions 29 to 507 of the family's 1533-position model. The record is from RNAcentral.
AGUGAACGCUGGCGGUAGGCCUAACACAUGCAAGUCGAACGGCAGCACAGUAAGAGCUUGCUCUUACGGGUGGCGAGUGGCGGACGGGUGAGGAAUACAUCGGAAUCUACUUUUUCGUGGGGGAUAACGUAGGGAAACUUACGCUAAUACCGCAUACGACCUACGGGUGAAAGCAGGGGAUCUUCGGACCUUGCGCGAUUGAGUGAGCCGAUGUCGGAUUAGCUAGUUGGCGGGGUAAAGGCCCACCAAGGCGACGAUCCGUAGCUGGUCUGAGAGGAUGAUCAGCCACACUGGAACUGAGUCACGGUCCAGACUCCUACGGGAGGCAGCAGUGGGGAAUAUUGGACAAUGGGCGCAAGCCUGAUCCAGCCAUACCGCGUGGGUGAAGAAGGCCUUCGGGUUGUAAAGCCCUUUUGUUGGGAAAGAAAAGCAGCAGGUUAAUACCCCGCUGUUCUGACGGUACCCAAAGAAUAAGCACCGGCUAACUUCGCG